CGCCCAGACUCCUACGGGAGGCAGCAGUGGGGAAUAUUGCACAAUGGGGGAAACCCUGAUGCAGCAACGCCGCGUGAGUGAGGAAGUAUUUCGGUAUGUAAAGCUCUAUCAGCAGGGAAUAGAAAAGAAGGUACCUGAAAAAGAAGCCCCGGCUAACUACGUGCCAGCAGCCGCGGUAAUACGUAGGGGGCAAGCGUUGUCCGGAUUUACUGGGUGUAAAGGGCGUGUAGCCGGGAAGGCAAGUCAGAUGUGAAAUCCGGAGGCUCAACCUCCGAAUUGCAUUUGAAACUGUUUUUCUUGAGUACUGGAGAGGCAGACGGAAUUCCUUGUGUAGCGGUGAAAUGCGUAGAUAUAAGGAGGAACACCAGUGGCGAAGGCGGUCUGCUGGACAGCAACUGACGGUGAGGCGCGAAAGCGUGGGGAGCAAACAGGAUUAGAUACCCGAGUA
This 448-nucleotide ribosomal RNA is filed under the name uncultured bacterium. RNAcentral's name for it is "partial 16S ribosomal RNA". It matches the Rfam family "Bacterial small subunit ribosomal RNA", at positions 328 to 792 of the family's 1533-position model. The record is from RNAcentral.